RNAcentral lists this ribosomal RNA (254 nucleotides) under uncultured bacterium. RNAcentral's name for it is "partial 16S ribosomal RNA". It matches the Rfam family "Bacterial small subunit ribosomal RNA", at positions 524 to 776 of the family's 1533-position model. The record is from RNAcentral.
UACGAAGGGGGCUAGCGUUGUUCGGAUUUACUGGGCGUAAAGCGCACGUAGGCGGAUCGUUAAGUCGGGGGUGAAAUCCUGGAGCUCAACCUCGGAACUGCCUUUGAUACAGCAUAUCUUGAGUCCGAUAGAGGUGGGUGGAAUUCCUGGUGUAGCGGUGAAAUGCGCAGAUAUCAGGAGGAACACCGGUGGCGAAGGCGGGUCUCUGGGCCGAUGACUGACGCUGAGGAGCGAAAGCGUGGGGAGCAAACAGG